RNAcentral lists this ribosomal RNA (484 nucleotides) under uncultured bacterium. RNAcentral describes it as "partial 16S ribosomal RNA". It matches the Rfam family "Bacterial small subunit ribosomal RNA", at positions 30 to 507 of the family's 1533-position model. The record is from RNAcentral.
AUUGAACGCUGGCGGCAGGCCUAACACAUGCAAGUCGAGCGGAUGAAGGGAGCUUGCUCCUGGAUUCAGCGGCGGACGGGUGAGUAAUGCCUAGGAAUCUGCCUGGUAGUGGGGGAUAACGUCCGGAAACGGGCGCUAAUACCGCAUACGUCCUGAGGGAGAAAGUGGGGGAUCUUCGGACCUCACGCAAUCAGAUGAGCCUAGGUCGGAUUAGCUAGUUGGUGGGGUAAAGGCCUACCAAGGCGACGAUCCGUAACUGGUCUGAGAGGAUGAUCAGUCACACUGGAACUGAGACACGGUCCAGACUCCUACGGGAGGCAGCAGUGGGGAGUAUUGGACAAUGGGCGAAAGCCUGAUCCAGCCAUGCCGCGUGUGUGAAGAAGGUCUUCGGAUUGUAAAGCACUUUAAGUUGGGAGGAAGGGCAGUAAGUUAAUACCUUGCUGUUUUGACGUUACCAACAGAAUAAGCACCGGCUAACUUCGUG